Molecule: ribosomal RNA, 736 nt
Filed under: Vibrio neocaledonicus
Lineage: Bacteria; Pseudomonadati; Pseudomonadota; Gammaproteobacteria; Vibrionales; Vibrionaceae
Description: partial 16S ribosomal RNA
Rfam family: Bacterial small subunit ribosomal RNA
Source: RNAcentral
AGUUAUCUGAACCUUCGGGGAACGAUAACGGCGUCGASGGCGGACGGGUGAGUAAUGCCUAGGAAAUUGCCCUGAUGUGGGGGAUAACCAUUGGAAACGAUGGCUAAUACCGCAUGAUGCCUACGGSCAAAGAGGGGGACCUUCGGGCCUCUCGCGUCAGGAUAUGCCUAGGUGGGAUUAGCUAGUUGGUGAGGUAAGGGCUCACCAAGGCGACGAUCCCUAGCUGGUCUGAGAGGAUGAUCAGCCACACUGGAACUGAGACACGGUCCAGACUCCUACGGGAGGCAGCAGUGGGGAAUAUUGCACAAUGGGCGCAAGUGAUGCAGCCAUGCCGCGUGUGUGAAGAAGGCCUUCGGGUUGUAAAGCACUUUCAGUCGUGAGGRAGGYGGKGUMGUUAAUAGCUGCAUURYUUGACGKUAGCSACAGAAGAAGCACCGGCUAACUCCGUGCCAGCAGCCGCGGUAAUACGGAGGGUGCGAGCSUUAAUCGGAAUUACUGGGCGUAAAGCGCAUGRGGUGGUUUGUUAAGUCAGAUGUGAAAGCCCGGGGCUCAACCUCGGAAUAGCAUUUGAAAMUGGSAGACUAGAGUACUGUAGAGGGGGGAGAAUUUCAGGUGUAGCGGUGAAAUGCGUAGAGAUCUGAAGGAAUACCGGUGGCGAAGSKGCCCCCUGGACAGAUACUGACACUCAGAUGCGAAAGSYGGGGGAGCAAACAGGAUUAGAUACCCUGGUAGUCCA